CUACGUGCCAGCAGCCGCGGUAAUACAGAGGGUGCAAGCGUUAAUCGGAAUUACUGGGCGUAAAGCGAGCGUAGGUGGUCAUUUAAGUCAGAUGUGAAAUCCCCGGGCUUAACCUGGGAACUGCGUUCUGAACUGGGUGACUAGAGUAGGUGAGAGGGAAGUAGAAUUCCAGGUGUAGCGGUGAAAUGCGUAGAGAUYUGGAGGAAUACCGAUGGCGAAGGCAGCCUCCUGGGAUAACACUGACGUUCAUGCUCGAAAGCGUGGGUAGCAAACAGGAUUAGAUACCCUGGUAGUCCACGCCCUAAACGAUGUCAAUUAGCUGUUGGGCAACUUGAUUGCUUAGUAGCGUAGCUAACGCGUGAAAUUGACCGCCUGGGGAGUACGGUCGCAAGAUUAAAACUCAAAGGAAUUGACGGGGACCCGCACAAGCGGUGGAUGAUGUGGAUUAAUUCGAUGCAACGCGAAGAACCCUACC
RNAcentral lists this ribosomal RNA (475 nucleotides) under uncultured bacterium. RNAcentral's name for it is "bacterial SSU rRNA". It matches the Rfam family "Bacterial small subunit ribosomal RNA", at positions 501 to 975 of the family's 1533-position model. The record is from RNAcentral.